RNAcentral lists this ribosomal RNA (254 nucleotides) under uncultured bacterium. Its description in RNAcentral is "partial 16S ribosomal RNA". It matches the Rfam family "Bacterial small subunit ribosomal RNA", at positions 524 to 776 of the family's 1533-position model. The record is from RNAcentral.
UACGUAGGGUGCAAGCGUUGUCCGGAUUUAUUGGGCGUAAAGAGCUCGUAGGCGGUCCCGUAAGUCAGAUGUGAAAACUCAGGGCUCAACCCGGAGACGCCAUCUGAUACUGCGGUGACUGGAGUCUGGUAGGGGAACACGGAAUUCCUGGUGUAGCGGUGAAAUGCGCAGAUAUCAGGAGGAACACCGAUGGCGAAGGCAGUGUUCUGGGCCAGUACUGACGCUGAGGAGCGAAAGCGUGGGGAGCGAACAGG